CCUACGGGGGGCUGCAGUGGGGAAUAUUGGACAAUGGGGGGAACCCUGAUCCAGCCAUGCCGCGUGUGUGAAGAAGGCCCUCGGGUUGUAAAGCACUUUCAGUGAGGAAGAACGCCUGGUGGUUAAUACCCAUCAGGUAAGACAUCACUCACAGAAGAAGCACCGGCUAACUCCGUGCCAGCAGCCGCGGUAAUACGGAGGGUGCGAGCGUUAAUCGGAAUUACUGGGCGUAAAGCGCGCGUAGGUGGCUUGAUAAGCCGGUUGUGAAAGCCCCGGGCUCAACCUGGGAACGGCAUCCGGAACUGUCAAGCUAGAGUGCAGGAGAGGAAGGUAGAAUUCCCGGUGUAGCGGUGAAAUGCGUAGAGAUCGGGAGGAAUACCAGUGGCGAAGGCGGCCUUCUGGACUGACACUGACACUGAGGUGCGAAAGCGUGGGUAGCAAACAGGAUUAGAUACCCUAGUAGUC
This 465-nucleotide ribosomal RNA is filed under the name Vreelandella stevensii. Its description in RNAcentral is "partial 16S ribosomal RNA". It matches the Rfam family "Bacterial small subunit ribosomal RNA", at positions 338 to 795 of the family's 1533-position model. Lineage: Bacteria; Pseudomonadati; Pseudomonadota; Gammaproteobacteria; Oceanospirillales; Halomonadaceae. The record is from RNAcentral.